RNAcentral lists this unclassified non-coding RNA (455 nucleotides) under Hevea brasiliensis (rubber tree). Lineage: Eukaryota; Viridiplantae; Streptophyta; Magnoliopsida; Malpighiales; Euphorbiaceae. The record is from RNAcentral.
AGAGAGGGCCUUGUUUAUAAAAAGAAUGAGGUUUUUCUUGAUAUUGUGGAAAGCGUAAAUCUUCUCAUGUCUUCAAAAGGUAGCGUUCUACGUUGUGAUGUAACCGGGAAGGUUCUUAUGAAGUGCUUCCUUUCUGGAAUGCCUGAUUUGAAGUUGGGUUUAAAUGAUAAAAUUGGGCUUGAGAAAGAGUCGCAACUGAAAUCCCGUCCUGCUAAAAGUGGUAAAACGAUCGAGCUUGAUGAUGUUACUUUCCACCAAUGUGUAAAUUUGACAAGGUUCAACUCAGAGAAGACCGUUAGUUUUGUCCCACCGGAUGGUGAAUUUGAAUUGAUGAAGUAUCGCAUAACUGAGGGAGUUAACCUUCCAUUUCGGGUUUUCCCAACAAUCAAGGAACUUGGUCGAACGCGAAUGGAAGUGAAUGUUAAGGUCAAGAGUGUCUUUGGUGCAAAAAUGUU